This 91-nucleotide long non-coding RNA is filed under the name Anas platyrhynchos platyrhynchos (common mallard). Its description in RNAcentral is "lncRNA (ENSAPLG00000023547.1)". The record is from RNAcentral. Lineage: Eukaryota; Metazoa; Chordata; Aves; Anseriformes; Anatidae.
AACAACCAUCUUCAGCUGAAAUGUAGUCCCUGAAGCUUCAUUCAAGUCUGGACCCAUUCUCAAGUUCUUUUUCCCAAACUGUGGCCCAGAU